UAAGCCCUGCGAUGUCCGUGAUAUCUGAUCGUUUUGAGCCACAAAGUUUGACUUGGGAGUUGUUCGUCCCAACUGUUAAGGCAUGCCACCCACGAGUGGACGUCUGGUACAGUUGGGCAGACACCCACCUGCGAUGAGCAGGUUCAAAACGUAGGAGUACACGACAUAAUGGGGCUCCU
This 179-nucleotide non-coding RNA is filed under the name Brevibacillus sp. AY1. RNAcentral describes it as "6S RNA". It matches the Rfam family "6S / SsrS RNA". From Rfam's summary of the family: E. coli 6S RNA was the first non coding RNA to be sequenced, but its function was unknown until recently. It consists of 184 nucleotides that fold into an extended hairpin structure with a large single-stranded internal bulge. The 6S RNA specifically associates with RNA polymerase holoenzyme containing the sigma70 specificity factor. Lineage: Bacteria; Bacillati; Bacillota; Bacilli; Caryophanales; Paenibacillaceae. The record is from RNAcentral.